This 383-nucleotide long non-coding RNA is filed under the name Homo sapiens (human). RNAcentral's name for it is "non-protein coding lnc-TP53BP2-8:7". The record is from RNAcentral. Lineage: Eukaryota; Metazoa; Chordata; Mammalia; Primates; Hominidae.
CAUGAACUUAUGAAUUCAACAGGUGAAGAUUUACAACUUGAUAAAUCAACUUUGUGAGCUCGAGCUGUAAAAGCCAAAGGUCUGGUGAUGAUCCCAUACCCUUUUUUCCAGUCUCAUGUUGAAGAUUUUUAUGUAGAAGGCCUUCCCAUGCUGGUCACUGCAACCUCUGCCUCCUGGGUUCAAGAAAUUCUCCUGCCUUAGCCUCCCAAGUCGCUGGGAUUAUAGGUGCCCACCACCACACCAGGCUAAUUUUUGUAUUUUUAGUGGAGAUGGGGUUUCACCAUGUUGGCCGGGCCAGUCUCGAACUCCUGAUGUCAAGUGAUCUUCCCGCCUCGACUCCUGACAUCAAGUGAUCUUCCCGCCUCGGCCUCCCAGAGUGCUGA